Small nuclear RNA from Camelus dromedarius (Arabian camel), 107 nucleotides. Lineage: Eukaryota; Metazoa; Chordata; Mammalia; Artiodactyla; Camelidae. The record is from Ensembl.
GUGCUCGCUUUGGCAGCACAUAUACUAAAAUUAGAAAGAUACAGAAAAGAUUAGCAUGGUCUCAGCACAAGGAUGACAUGCAAAUUCACAAAGUGUUCCAUAAUUUU